RNAcentral lists this ribosomal RNA (426 nucleotides) under Triticum aestivum (bread wheat). RNAcentral's name for it is "partial small subunit ribosomal RNA". The record is from RNAcentral. Lineage: Eukaryota; Viridiplantae; Streptophyta; Magnoliopsida; Poales; Poaceae.
AUGUUGAUUUAUGUUGAUGAUAUAAUUGUUGCUAGCUCCUCAUCCGAAGCUACCUCAGCCUUGGUGAGAAAUUUGAAAAAUGAAUUUGCAAUCAAAGACCUAGGAGAGUUGCAUUAUUUUCUAGGCAUAGAAGUCAAAAGAUUAAAUGAAGGUGGUAUCUUACUUACACAAGAAAAAUAUGCCAAAGACAUAUUGAAGCGUGUAGGGAUGACAGAUUGUAAGCCCUCUAGCACACCUAUGUCUACUACUGAAAAGUUGUCAUUGCAUGAAGGAGAAUUACUAAGUCCAGAAGAAGGAACUAAGUAUAGAAGUACAGUUGGUGCACUUCAGUACGUAACACUAACAAGGCCAUAUAUAUCCUUCUCUGUUAAUAAAGUCUGUCAGUUUUUGCGUAUGCUCCUACUUCUGUUCACUGGACAGCCGUAA